AAUGAGAUAGCUGGGUCAAAUGGUGGUUCUAUUCCAAGUUUUCUGAGGAAUCUCCAUACUGCUUUCCAGAGUGAUUGCAUCUAUUUGCAUUCCCACCAGCAAU
Molecule: microRNA precursor, 103 nt
Filed under: Marmota monax (woodchuck)
Lineage: Eukaryota; Metazoa; Chordata; Mammalia; Rodentia; Sciuridae
Source: RNAcentral